GCCCCGGUAGCUUAGCCUGGUAGAGCGAUUGACUUGUAAUCAAUAGGUCGAGGGUUCAAAUCCCUCCCGGGGCU
RNAcentral lists this transfer RNA (74 nucleotides) under Methanosarcinales archaeon. RNAcentral's name for it is "tRNA-Thr". It matches the Rfam family "tRNA". From Rfam's summary of the family: Transfer RNA (tRNA) molecules are approximately 80 nucleotides in length. Lineage: Archaea; Methanobacteriati; Methanobacteriota; Methanomicrobia; Methanosarcinales. The record is from RNAcentral.